CCUACGGGAGGCAGCAGUGGGGGAUAUUGCACAAUGGGGGAAACCCUGAUGCAGCGACGCCGCGUGUGGGAAGACGGUCCUCUGGAUUGUAAACCACUGUCCCCAGGGACGAAGAUGACGGUACCUGGGGAGGAAGCUCCGGCUAACUACGUUCAACCACCCGCGGUAAUACGUUGGGAGCGAGCGUUGUACGGAAUUACUGGGGGUAAAGGGAGGGUAGGCGGGGAUGAAAGUUGGGUGUAAAAACUACCGGCUCAACUGGUAGUCGCACUCAAAACUGCAGGUCUUGAGUGAAGUAGAGGCAGGCGGAAUUCCUAGUGUAGCGGUGAAAUGCGUAGAUAUUAGGAGGAACACCAGUGGCGAAGGCGGCCUGCUGGGCUUUUACUGACGCUGAGGCUCGAAAGUGUGGGGAGCAAACGGGAUUAGAUACCCCUGUAGUC
RNAcentral lists this ribosomal RNA (440 nucleotides) under uncultured bacterium. RNAcentral's name for it is "partial 16S ribosomal RNA". It matches the Rfam family "Bacterial small subunit ribosomal RNA", at positions 338 to 795 of the family's 1533-position model. The record is from RNAcentral.